UGGGGAAUCUUCCGCAAUGGGCGAAAGCCUGACGGAGCAACGCCGCGUGAGUGAAGAAGGCCUUCGGGUCGUAAAACUCUGUCUUCAGGGAAGAAAAAAAUGACGGUACCUGAGGAGGAAGCCCCGGCUAACUACGUGCCAGCAGCCGCGGUAAAACGUAGGGGGCGAGCGUUGUCCGGAAUUACUGGGCGUAAAGGGCGCGUAGGCGGUCAUUUAAGUCAGAGGUGAAAACUACCGGCUCAACCGGUAGCCUGCCUUUGAAACUGGAUGACUUGAGGGCAGGAGAGGGGAGUGGAAUUCCCAGUGUAGCGGUGAAAUGCGUAGAUAUUGGGAGGAACACCAGUGGCGAAGGCGGCUCUCUGGCCUGUUUCUGACGCUGAGGCGCGAAAGCGUGGGGAGCGAACGG
This 406-nucleotide ribosomal RNA is filed under the name uncultured bacterium. Its description in RNAcentral is "bacterial SSU rRNA". It matches the Rfam family "Bacterial small subunit ribosomal RNA", at positions 355 to 775 of the family's 1533-position model. The record is from RNAcentral.